Molecule: ribosomal RNA, 460 nt
Filed under: uncultured bacterium
Lineage: Bacteria
Description: partial 16S ribosomal RNA
Rfam family: Bacterial small subunit ribosomal RNA
Source: RNAcentral
CCUACGGGAGGCAGCAGUGAGGAAUAUUGGUCAAUGGACGAGAGUCUGAACCAGCCAAGUAGCGUGAAGGAUGACUGCCCUAUGGGUUGUAAACUUCUUUUAUAUGGGAGUAAAAUGUUCCACGUGUGGGUUUUUGUAUGUACCAUAUGAAUAAGGAUCGGCUAACUCCGUGCCAGCAGCCGCGGUAAUACGGAGGAUGCGAGCGUUAUCCGGAUUUAUUGGGUUUAAAGGGUGCGUAGGUGGAUUGAUAAGUCAGUUGUGAAAGUUUGGGGCUUAAACGUAAAAUUGCAGUUGAGACUGACAGUCUUGAGUACAGUAGAGGUGUGCGGAAUGCGUGGUGUAGCGGUGAAAUGCUUAGAUAUCACGAAGAACUCCGAUUGCGAAGGCAGCUCACUGGACUGCGACUGACACUGAGGCUCGAAAGUGUGGGUAUCAAACAGGAUUAGAUACCCGAGUAGUC